This 100-nucleotide small nuclear RNA is filed under the name Rattus norvegicus (Norway rat). Lineage: Eukaryota; Metazoa; Chordata; Mammalia; Rodentia; Muridae. The record is from RNAcentral.
GUGCUCAAUUCAGCAGCAUGUUUACUAAAAUCAGAAUACCUAGAUUAGCACGGCCCCACACAAAGAUGACACCAAAAUUUGUGAAGUGUUCCAUAUUUAA